This 254-nucleotide ribosomal RNA is filed under the name uncultured bacterium. RNAcentral's name for it is "partial 16S ribosomal RNA". It matches the Rfam family "Bacterial small subunit ribosomal RNA", at positions 524 to 776 of the family's 1533-position model. The record is from RNAcentral.
UACGUAGGGCGCAAGCGUUGUCCGGAAUUAUUGGGCGUAAAGAGCUCGUAGGCGGCCUGUUGCGUCCGCUGUGAAAUCCCGGGGCUCAACCCCCCAGCCUGCAGUGGGUACGGGCAGACUAGAGUGCGGUAGGGGAGAUUGGAAUUCCUGGUGUAGCGGUGGAAUGCGCAGAUAUCAGGAGGAACACCGAUGGCGAAGGCAGAUCUCUGGGCCGUAACUGACGCUGAGGAGCGAAAGCAUGGGGAGCGAACAGG